GAACUACUCCCUCCGUUCAGAAUUACUUGUCACAAAAAUGGAUAAAAAUGAAAGUAUCUACAACAAAAAUACAUCUACAUACAUUCAUUUCUUGGACAAGUAAUUCCGAACGGAGGGAGUACCUC
Molecule: non-coding RNA, 125 nt
Organism: Triticum aestivum (bread wheat)
Lineage: Eukaryota; Viridiplantae; Streptophyta; Magnoliopsida; Poales; Poaceae
Source: Rfam